RNAcentral lists this ribosomal RNA (3073 nucleotides) under Campylobacter jejuni. RNAcentral's name for it is "bacterial LSU rRNA". It matches the Rfam family "Bacterial large subunit ribosomal RNA". Lineage: Bacteria; Pseudomonadati; Campylobacterota; Epsilonproteobacteria; Campylobacterales; Campylobacteraceae. RNAcentral also lists the same sequence under 7 other names. The record is from RNAcentral.
UAAAAAAAGGUAAGCUACUAAGAGCGAAUGGUGGAUGCCUUGACUGGUAAAGGCGAUGAAGGACGUACUAGACUGCGAUAAGCUACGGGGAGCUGUCAAGAAGCUUUGAUCCGUAGAUUUCCGAAUGGGGCAACCCAAUGUAUAGAGAUAUACAUUACCUAUAUAGGAGCGAACGAGGGGAAUUGAAACAUCUUAGUACCCUCAGGAAAAGAAAUCAAUAGAGAUUGCGUCAGUAGCGGCGAGCGAAAGCGCAAGAGGGCAAACCCAGUGCUUGCACUGGGGGUUGUAGGACUGCAAUGUGCAAGAGCUGAGUUUAGCAGAACAUUCUGGAAAGUAUAGCCAUAGAGGGUGAUAGUCCCGUAUGCGAAAAACAAAGCUUAGCUAGCAGUAUCCUGAGUAGGGCGGGACACGAGGAAUCCUGUCUGAAUCCGGGUCGACCACGAUCCAACCCUAAAUACUAAUACCAGAUCGAUAGUGCACAAGUACCGUGAGGGAAAGGUGAAAAGAACUGAGGUGAUCAGAGUGAAAUAGAACCUGAAACCAUUUGCUUACAAUCAUUCAGAGCACUAUGUAGCAAUACAGUGUGAUGGACUGCCUUUUGCAUAAUGAGCCUGCGAGUUGUGGUGUCUGGCAAGGUUAAGCAAACGCGAAGCCGUAGCGAAAGCGAGUCUGAAUAGGGCGCUUAGUCAGAUGCUGCAGACCCGAAACGAAGUGAUCUAUCCAUGAGCAAGUUGAAGCUAGUGUAAGAACUAGUGGAGGACUGAACCCAUAGGCGUUGAAAAGCCCCGGGAUGACUUGUGGAUAGGGGUGAAAGGCCAAUCAAACUUCGUGAUAGCUGGUUCUCUCCGAAAUAUAUUUAGGUAUAGCGUUGUGUCGUAAUAUAAGGGGGUAGAGCACUGAAUGGGCUAGGGCAUACACCAAUGUACCAAACCCUAUCAAACUCCGAAUACCUUAUAUGUAAUCACAGCAGUCAGGCGGCGAGUGAUAAAAUCCGUCGUCAAGAGGGAAACAACCCAGACUACCAGCUAAGGUCCCUAAAUCUUACUUAAGUGGAAAACGAUGUGAAGUUACUUAAACAACCAGGAGGUUGGCUUAGAAGCAGCCAUCCUUUAAAGAAAGCGUAAUAGCUCACUGGUCUAGUGAUUUUGCGCGGAAAAUAUAACGGGGCUAAAGUAAGUACCGAAGCUGUAGACUUGCACACAACUUAGAUUAUUUAAGUUUAGAAUAUGAGAAACUAAGUUAUAUGUUUAGUUAUAUUUUUACUGAUUUUUAUAGAGUAAAGAUAGAAAUAAAACUUAGUAAAAUCAGUAAAAAUAUUCUUAGGCUAAAGUUAAGUAGUUUAAGUUGUGUGCAAGUGGUAGGAGAGCGUUCUAUUUGCGUCGAAGGUAUACCGGUAAGGAGUGCUGGAGCGAAUAGAAGUGAGCAUGCAGGCAUGAGUAGCGAUAAUUAAUGUGAGAAUCAUUAACGCCGUAAACCCAAGGUUUCCUACGCGAUGCUCGUCAUCGUAGGGUUAGUCGGGUCCUAAGUCGAGUCCGAAAGGGGUAGACGAUGGCAAAUUGGUUAAUAUUCCAAUACCAACAUUAGUGUGCGAUGGAAGGACGCUUAGGGCUAAGGGGGCUAGCGGAUGGAAGUGCUAGUCUAAGGUUGUAGGAGGUUAUACAGGCAAAUCCGUAUAACAAUACUCCGAGAACUGAAAGGCUUUUUGAAGUCUUCGGAUGGAUAGAAGAACCCCUGAUGCCGUCGAGCCAAGAAAAGUUUCUAAGUUUAGCUAAUGUUGCCCGUACCGUAAACCGACACAGGUGGGUGGGAUGAGUAUUCUAAGGCGCGUGGAAGAACUCUCUUUAAGGAACUCUGCAAAAUAGCACCGUAUCUUCGGUAUAAGGUGUGGUUAGCUUCGUACUAGGAUUUACUCCGAAAGCGAAGAAACUUACAACAAAGAGUCCCUCCCGACUGUUUACCAAAAACACAGCACUCUGCUAACUCGUAAGAGGAUGUAUAGGGUGUGACGCCUGCCCGGUGCUCGAAGGUUAAUUGAUGGGGUUAGCAUUAGCGAAGCUCUUGAUCGAAGCCCGAGUAAACGGCGGCCGUAACUAUAACGGUCCUAAGGUAGCGAAAUUCCUUGUCGGUUAAAUACCGACCUGCAUGAAUGGCGUAACGAGAUGGGAGCUGUCUCAAAGAGGGAUCCAGUGAAAUUGUAGUGGAGGUGAAAAUUCCUCCUACCCGCGGCAAGACGGAAAGACCCCGUGGACCUUUACUACAGCUUGACACUGCUACUUGGAUAAGAAUGUGCAGGAUAGGUGGGAGGCUUUGAGUAUAUGACGCCAGUUGUAUAUGAGCCAUUGUUGAGAUACCACUCUUUCUUAUUUGGGUAGCUAACCAGCUUGAGUUAUCCUCAAGUGGGACAAUGUCUGGUGGGUAGUUUGACUGGGGCGGUCGCCUCCCAAAUAAUAACGGAGGCUUACAAAGGUUGGCUCAGAACGGUUGGAAAUCGUUCGUAGAGUAUAAAGGUAUAAGCCAGCUUAACUGCAAGACAUACAAGUCAAGCAGAGACGAAAGUCGGUCUUAGUGAUCCGGUGGUUCUGUGUGGAAGGGCCAUCGCUCAAAGGAUAAAAGGUACCCCGGGGAUAACAGGCUGAUCUCCCCCAAGAGCUCACAUCGACGGGGAGGUUUGGCACCUCGAUGUCGGCUCAUCGCAUCCUGGGGCUGGAGCAGGUCCCAAGGGUAUGGCUGUUCGCCAUUUAAAGCGGUACGCGAGCUGGGUUCAGAACGUCGUGAGACAGUUCGGUCCCUAUCUGCCGUGGGCGUAAGAAGAUUGAAGAGAUUUGACCCUAGUACGAGAGGACCGGGUUGAACAAACCACUGGUGUAGCUGUUGUUCUGCCAAGAGCAUCGCAGCGUAGCUAAGUUUGGAAAGGAUAAACGCUGAAAGCAUCUAAGCGUGAAGCCAACUCUAAGAUGAAUCUUCUCUAAGCUCUCUAGAAGACUACUAGUUUGAUAGGCUGGGUGUGUAAUGGAUGAAAGUCCUUUAGCUGACCAGUACUAAUAGAGCGUUUGGCUUAUCUUUAAUAAAGCAU